AUGUUCGUAGAAAGGAUAGACGGUUGGCAUCUCCCCUGACAUGGACGGGAACAGUCUUUGGACUUUCUUCUAGGAGUAGUACAUUGCGGUUAAGGCUACCCACUUUGGCGGAUCUUACCCAAAAAGAAAA
RNAcentral lists this non-coding RNA (130 nucleotides) under Leersia perrieri. The record is from RNAcentral. Lineage: Eukaryota; Viridiplantae; Streptophyta; Magnoliopsida; Poales; Poaceae.